AGAGAAAUCGACACAUCCCAGAGAAAGUCGAUCACCACCCACGUAGGGCUGGGCUGCCGAGAUCAACGGUUGUUGGUGGUGGGGAUGGUGAUCUCACAAUCUCUUAGCCACGUCCCAUUUCAUUCGGCAUGCUCGCAAUUCACAUUCUCGAACUCGAGAUGGGAGCUUGAAGUUGGUACUCGAUAUUUAUCUUCUCGCCAGGUGCAGCUUUUCUUUAAAUGUAACAGCGAUUUCUUCUUAUUUGUAGUGAACACACUUUAUCGGUGGUUUGCAUGGCUCGGAUUGAGCAUGCCUCGGCGUGUGCAUGUGUUGCGUGGAGGAGAUAGCGAGGUUAUCGACUGCACAAGUUGGGCCCACUUGUAGCCUUUAGCUUUGGGCUAGGUAGUGGUGAUCGAGAGAAGAUGGCUUCUCAACCCUAAUUUGAUUGGUUAGCUUAACUAUUGGCUGUUCAUUGUUUCCGGGAAUUGAUUACUGGUGCUGCCCUGCAGCAUGUUGCUGAACAACAAUCUUUCAAUGAAGACCUAUGCUACCUCACAUAUUCAAAGUAAUUUAGUAGGAAAUGUCGGCGUCGUCGAUGCUCAUAUUGUUGUACAGCUGCAAAUCACUACAGAUUCCAUGGAUAAUUGUACAUUGUUAAACCUGGAUGUCUACUCGUAGAUUAGUCUACAAUCACCUGGUUUUGAAGGGAGUACUUGAGAAGCUUCUCAAAGCCUCUACGAAGUGGAUCGUCUUGUCGAGGCUUGAAGUCAAUUCAUGC
RNAcentral lists this long non-coding RNA (757 nucleotides) under Physcomitrium patens. RNAcentral's name for it is "long non-coding RNA (PPAT_LNC009785)". Lineage: Eukaryota; Viridiplantae; Streptophyta; Bryopsida; Funariales; Funariaceae. The record is from RNAcentral.